AAAUCAUCAUGCCCCUUAUGACCUGGGCUGCACACGUAAUACAAUGGCUGUGACAGAGAGAACCGAAGAUGUGAAAGUCGGGGGGGAAUCUCUUAAAAGCAGUCUCAGUUCGGAUUGUCUUCUGCAACUCGGAGGCAUGAAGUUGGAAUCGCUAGUAAUCGCAGAUCAGCAUGCUGCGGUGAAUACGUUCUCCGGGUCUU
Molecule: ribosomal RNA, 200 nt
Filed under: uncultured Candidatus Captivus sp.
Lineage: Bacteria; Pseudomonadati; Pseudomonadota; Alphaproteobacteria; Holosporales; Candidatus Paracaedibacteraceae
Description: partial 16S ribosomal RNA
Rfam family: Bacterial small subunit ribosomal RNA
Source: RNAcentral